GCCGUUUUGACUUCUGAAUUCGUGACUCAUUGUUCUUCUUCUGUGGUAACUUAAUUGAGUCCUCAUUCAUCCCCGUCUCUGAUUUUUGGAAGCCAUUGACUCUCUGCGGGGACUGAAACAGAUGAAGGAUGAAGACCAGCUGAAAAGGAUUGGUACAAAGCCGCUCCCACUUCAGGUAGAUGCCUCCCACGGGCACCUGCAUAUCCAAGGUGGUCUGGCUGCUGCCGGCUCGCCGGAGGAUGCCUCGGCUGCCGAAGUAAUCUGUCAGAGUGGCCGCUCAGAUGAUCCCCCUUCACAUCCCACCCAGUAAUCUAAAAUCCGCUUCUUGCAUAUUAGUAAAAACAGAACUGAUUUAUCUGGUUAGAACUACAGUCUUAAUAAUUCAGACAUUCGAAUUUUGAUUGAGAUUGGACAUUUCAAAGGAAAAUGAAAGUGCUAGCCGCUUGAAUUCGACAUCAAUUGAGAAAUUGGUGAAUUAAAUAUCCCUCAAGAUACUCGUAGGCAUUCAUAUUGUCACCAUCUAAAGUUAGAGAAUCCAAAUGAGGGCAAUGCCUUACUCUGAUAUGAUGUCUCGACCACUCUGCGUCUGGAGAUGAAACCCUGGAGAUGAAACCCUUCUUUCUACCCUUACAAAUUUGGGAAAUCAAUCAACUUGUCAUCUUGUAGCGGCUGAAUGCACCAAGGUGUGCCACUGCCUAUAGAUAGUAACAUGCUAACCUAGGGUUAUGUUGUGCAGGUGAGCUGAGUCUUGGUGCACCCAUGGUUCAUUGAGGUGUCCUUGGGCGCAUUGCUGAGGCGGACGACCAUCUUGUCGGCGCCCUCAGAUUCCAUCAGUUCUUCGAGGCCUCGGAGGUUGCAUUGUUCAGGGAGAACCUAUAUGCACGUCCUAUUCUCUUUAUGGCAUCUACAAUUUUGAUCCCUAUUACAAAUUCGACCAUCUAAUCAGAAUUGUUAUGUAUGGCCUUGUCACGUGGGAACUGCUCGCCAUAAGCUAGGACAUGUGCCAAAACGUUCAGAAGUAUGGCUUCAAUGGCUUAGGAGGGUCCGACAGGAUUACCACCGCUGACAUUCAGUCAAGUGAAAUACGAACUACCAGAGAGGUAUCCUAAGCCAUCCUCGAUGUUAUGUUCAUACCGCCAUUCAUUCUCAAAUCAGAGUAAUUAUCCAGAAAAAAAAAUUCAGGAGCUGGUGGUGUACAGGACUUGCCCUUCCACCUCACCUUUCAGCUUGGUCCAAUCAAGUUCUUGCUGAUCCGAUCAAAAUACUGUGAACUGUUCAUUUAGUUUUAACUGUAAACUUGGCCUGAUUGGCGUGUGUGAUUGUUCUGAUGAUAAUCGCCAAAGAUUUUUGUUGUGCAUAUGUCGAGAUACAUGUAUAAGAGUCAUCCGGUCCAGACCAUAGUGCCCCAACCUAAUGCAAUAUCACUGAAGUUUUGAAGGUACAAA
This is a long non-coding RNA of Lolium perenne, 1445 nucleotides long. RefSeq lists it as uncharacterized. The record is from RefSeq and is a predicted model, not a curated record. NCBI's taxonomy places the organism in Eukaryota, Viridiplantae, Streptophyta, Magnoliopsida, Poales, Poaceae.